RNAcentral lists this transfer RNA (74 nucleotides) under Actinomadura sp. KC216. RNAcentral describes it as "tRNA-Gln". It matches the Rfam family "tRNA". From Rfam's summary of the family: Transfer RNA (tRNA) molecules are approximately 80 nucleotides in length. Their secondary structure includes four short double-helical elements and three loops (D, anti-codon, and T loops). The record is from RNAcentral. Lineage: Bacteria; Bacillati; Actinomycetota; Actinomycetes; Streptosporangiales; Thermomonosporaceae.
UCCAGGAUCGUCUAACGGUAGGACGCCGGGCUCUGAACCCGGCAAUCGAGGUUCGAAUCCUUGUCCUGGAGCCA